GUAGUCUGCAACCCGACUACAUGAAGCUGGAAUCGCUAGUAAUCGCGAAUCAGAAUGUCGCGGUGAAUACGUUCCCGGGUCUUGUACACACCGCCCGUCACACCAUGGGAGUCGGAAAUGCCCGAAGUCAGUGACCCAACCGCAAGGAGGGAGCUGCCGAAGGUGGAGCCGGUAACUGGGGUGAAGUCGUAACAAGGUAUC
RNAcentral lists this ribosomal RNA (201 nucleotides) under uncultured bacterium. RNAcentral describes it as "partial 16S ribosomal RNA". It matches the Rfam family "Bacterial small subunit ribosomal RNA", at positions 1300 to 1500 of the family's 1533-position model. The record is from RNAcentral.